Non-coding RNA from Trichonephila inaurata madagascariensis, 72 nucleotides. The record is from the annotation of a GenBank genome assembly. Lineage: Eukaryota; Metazoa; Arthropoda; Arachnida; Araneae; Nephilidae.
GGGGGUAUAGCUCAGUGGUACAGCUUACGCCUGCAAAGCGAGCGAUCCCCGGUUCAAACCCGGAUGCUCCCU